CCGAGCUACUACACCUACGUCCCGAAGUAUUACUGUGCGUAAGAGGAGUCUAGAAAAAAGAAGUUGUGCCCGAACUGCAGUGCCCUAUCUGUCACCAACUGCAUUCCUCAUCUUGUAAACUAUUCGCCAUUAUGGACAUCUAUGGCGUCGUGCUCCUAUUGUGUCUAUUGUUCGUUGAUUGGUGGGUCGACCGCUGGUGUAGCGAUGCCUCCUUGGUAAGGCGGAAACCAAACUGCAACGCCGCCGCCUUCCUACACAACUUACGCAACGACCAGUUCCUGCACCGAGGUCUACAAGUACUACACUACUAAGGCACCGGAGUUUUAUACCACAACUUACGCUGCCCCGAGCCACUACACUGAAGCCCUGAAGUAUUAUUCUACCCUAAGUUACUACACCAUCUAGGCGAUGGACAUGACUACGUAUGCUGCCCCAUCCUACUACACCGAGGCUCCCAAGUGCUACACCGAGGCUCCCGCUGAUUACUCCACCGAAGCGGCAAAGUACUUCUCUGCCCUGAUCUACACAACCACAACUGAGGCGGCUAAGUAUUAAGCAGUCCCGAGUUGCUACCCAAAAGCUGCCCUUUCGUGCUACGUUGAACAGAAAAAAUACU
Daphnia pulicaria is the source of this 616-nucleotide long non-coding RNA. RefSeq lists it as uncharacterized. The record is from RefSeq and is a predicted model, not a curated record. NCBI's taxonomy places the organism in Eukaryota, Metazoa, Arthropoda, Branchiopoda, Diplostraca, Daphniidae. The transcript is spliced from 3 exons.